GCAGGAGUCGGCUUGCUGGCGAUGCUGACAACGCGGUAUCCCGUCAAACCGCGUUGAUACUUUCGCCAGCAAGCCGGCUCCUAC
RNAcentral lists this unclassified non-coding RNA (84 nucleotides) under Pseudomonas migulae. The record is from RNAcentral. Lineage: Bacteria; Pseudomonadati; Pseudomonadota; Gammaproteobacteria; Pseudomonadales; Pseudomonadaceae.